GAUUCCGUUGUGUGUUCCUCUGGGGUAAGCAAGUAGCAUUUCCUCCCCCAGAGUCCGCGGUCGGGAUGCUGUGCAAACUUGCCUAUCUCUGAAAACAGACGCUUCUGCGGUACCCGCACCCUGGGCUGGAUAUUUUCUGUUACCAACAACACAGAAUGUGGGAAGUUACUGGAGGAAAUCAAAUGUGCACUUUGCUCUCCACAUUCUCAAAGCCUGUUCCACUCACCUGAGGGAGAAGUCUUGGAAAGAGACCUAGUACUUCCUCUGCUCUGCAAAGACUAUUGCAAAGAAUUCUUUUACACUUGCCGAGGCCAUAUUCCAGAUUUUCCAAGAAAACAAGUCAGAGGACCAGCAUCUAACUACUUGGACCAGAUGGAAGAAUAUGACAAAGUGGAAGAGAUCAGCAGAAAGCACAAACACAACUGCUUCUGUAUUCAGGAGGUUGUGAGUGGGCUGCGGCAGCCCGUUGGUGCCCUGCAUAGUGGGGAUGGCUCGCACCGUCUCUUCAUUCUGGAAAAAGAAGGUUAUGUGAAGAUACUUACCCCUG
RNAcentral lists this small RNA (547 nucleotides) under Pan troglodytes (chimpanzee). Its description in RNAcentral is "processed transcript". The record is from RNAcentral. Lineage: Eukaryota; Metazoa; Chordata; Mammalia; Primates; Hominidae.